This 114-nucleotide ribosomal RNA is filed under the name Salmonella enterica subsp. enterica serovar Plymouth. RNAcentral's name for it is "partial 16S ribosomal RNA". It matches the Rfam family "Bacterial small subunit ribosomal RNA", at positions 1 to 105 of the family's 1533-position model. The record is from RNAcentral. Lineage: Bacteria; Pseudomonadati; Pseudomonadota; Gammaproteobacteria; Enterobacterales; Enterobacteriaceae.
UUAAAUUGAAGAGUUUGAUCAUGGCUCAGAUUGAACGCUGGCGGCAGGCCUAACACAUGCAAGUCGAACGGUAACAGGAAGCAGCUUGCUGUUUUGCUGACGAGUGGCGGACGG